Molecule: ribosomal RNA, 254 nt
Filed under: uncultured bacterium
Lineage: Bacteria
Description: partial 16S ribosomal RNA
Rfam family: Bacterial small subunit ribosomal RNA
Source: RNAcentral
UACGUAGGGGGCAAGCGUUGUCCGGAAUUACUGGGCGUAAAGCGCGUGUAGGUGGUGGCUUAAGCGUGCGGUGAAAGCUCGGAGCUCAACUCCGAGUCGGCCGUGCGAACUGGGCUCACUGGAGCAUAGUAGAGGCAGGUGGAAUUCCGGGUGUAGCGGUGGAAUGCGUAGAGAUCCGGAAGAACACCGGUGGCGAAGGCGGCCUGCUGGGCUAUGGCUGACACUGAGGCGCGACAGCGUGGGGAGCAAACAGG